RNAcentral lists this ribosomal RNA (497 nucleotides) under uncultured bacterium. Its description in RNAcentral is "partial 16S ribosomal RNA". It matches the Rfam family "Bacterial small subunit ribosomal RNA", at positions 28 to 507 of the family's 1533-position model. The record is from RNAcentral.
GAUGAACGCUGGCGGCGUGCCUAAUACAUGCAAGUCGAGCGAACGGACGAGAAGCUUGUGUCUCUGUUGUUAGCGGCGGACGGGUGUGUAACACGUGGAUAACCUACCUAUAAGUCUGGGAUAACUUCGGGAAACCGUAGCUUAUCCCGUAUAAUAUUUUGCACCGCAUGGUUCAAUAGUGAAAUACGGUCUUUCUGUCACUUAUAGAUGGAUCCGCGCUGCAUUAGCUAGUUGGUAAGGUAACGGCUUACGAAGGCUACGAUGCAUAGCCGAGCUGAGAGGGUGAUCGGCCACACUGGAGCUGAGACAGGGACCAGACUCCUACGGGAGGCAGCAGUAGGGAAUCGUCCGCAGAAGGCGAAAGCCUGACGCAGCAACGCCGCGUGUGAGAUGAAGGCCUUCGGAUCGUAAAACUCUGUUAUUAGGUAAAAACAUCUGUGUAAGUAACCGUGCACAGCUUGACGGUAACUAAUCAGAAAGCAACGGCUAACUACGUG